RNAcentral lists this ribosomal RNA (253 nucleotides) under uncultured bacterium. Its description in RNAcentral is "partial 16S ribosomal RNA". It matches the Rfam family "Bacterial small subunit ribosomal RNA", at positions 524 to 776 of the family's 1533-position model. The record is from RNAcentral.
UACGUAGGGUGCGAGCGUUGUCCGGAAUUAUUGGGCGUAAAGGGCUCGUAGGCGGUUUGUCGCGUCGGGAGUGAAAACCUUGGGCUUAACUCAGGGCUUGCUUUCGAUACGGGCAGACUAGAGGUAUGCAGGGGAGAACGGAAUUCCUGGUGUAGCGGUGAAAUGCGCAGAUAUCAGGAAGAACACCGGUGGCGAAGGCGGUUCUCUGGGCAUUACCUGACGCUGAGGAGCGAAAGUGUGGGGAGCGAACAGG